Molecule: ribosomal RNA, 740 nt
Filed under: uncultured archaeon
Lineage: Archaea
Description: bacterial SSU rRNA
Rfam family: Archaeal small subunit ribosomal RNA
Source: RNAcentral
UUCCGGUUGAUCCUGCCGGACCCGACUGCUAUCAGAGUGAGAUUAAGCCAUGCGAGUUAACGUAGCAAUACGUGGCGCACGGCUCAGUAACACGUAGUCAACAUGCCCAGAGGACGUGGAUAACCUCGGGAAACUGAGUCUAAACCGCGAUAAGUGAGGAUUUCUGGAAUGGUUCCUGACUAAAAUCUAUAUGGCCUCUGGAUUGGACUGCGGCCGAUCAGGCUGUUGGUGAGGUAAUGGCCCACCAAACCUGUAACCGGUACGGGCUCUGAGAGGAGGAGCCCGGAGAUGGGCACUGAGACAAGGGCCCAGGCCCUAUGGGGCGCAGCAGGCGCGAAACCUCUGCAAUAGGUGAAAGCCUGACAGUGUUACUCUGAGUGACUUUCGCUAAGAAAGUCUUUUGGUACCUCUAAAAAGGGUGCAGAAUAAGGGGUGGGCAAGUCUGGUGUCAGCCGCCGCGGUAAUACCAGCACCCCGAGUGGUCGGGACGAUUAUUGGGCCUAAAGCAUCCGUAGCCGGUUCUGCAAGUCCCCCGUUAAAUCCAGCUGCUCAACAGAUGGGCCGCGGAGGAUACUACAGAGCUAGGAGGCAGGAGAGGCAAGCGGUACUCAGUGAGUAGGGGUAAAAUCCGUUGAUCCAUUGAAGACCACCAGUGGCGAAGGCGGCUUGCCAGAAUGCGCUCGACGGUGAGGGAUGAAAGCUGGGGGAGCAAACCGGAUUAGAUACCCGGGUAGUCCCAG